GCCGGUGUAGCUCAGUUGGUCAGAGCACGUGAUUUGUAAUCUCGGGGUCGUGGGUUCGAAUCCCUCUACCGGCU
RNAcentral lists this transfer RNA (74 nucleotides) under Blattabacterium sp. (Blattella germanica) str. Bge. RNAcentral's name for it is "tRNA-Thr (TGT) (tRNA-Thr-TGT-1-1)". It matches the Rfam family "tRNA". Rfam says of the family: Transfer RNA (tRNA) molecules are approximately 80 nucleotides in length. The record is from RNAcentral. Lineage: Bacteria; Pseudomonadati; Bacteroidota; Flavobacteriia; Flavobacteriales; Blattabacteriaceae.